GGAAGGAUCAUUAUCAAGUACCGAGUAGCUAUAAGCUGCUCACCAACCAAUGUGAAUUGGGGUGCUCUGAGCACUCUUAGAUAUAGACGAUAAACGAGUCGGAUAAACACACAAUGAAAAACAACUUUUAACAAUGGAUCUCUUGGCUCUUGCAACGAUGAAGAACGCAGUGAAUUGCGAUACGUAAUGUGAAUUGUAGCACCUGUGAAUCAUCAAAUCUUUGAACGCACUUUGCACUUUCUGGGUCUACCAGAAAGUAUACCUGUAUGAGUAUCAAAAACUAUUCUUCAACCAUUGAAGGAGCUCGAGAUUACUGGAGAGUAUUCUUGAAAAUUGAGGAAACGGGUGUCGGCGCUGAGGCUGCUGAUCAGUGAGGUAAGAAAACUUGAUUUUCUCCCGCUACAUUGGCGGCCAGGUCUGGCAUGUAGUUUAACUUUGUACCAAUAAUGAUCUCAUAUCAGGUAGGACUACUCGCUGAACUUAAGCAUAUCAGUAAGCGAAGGAAAAGAAACUAACAAGGAUUCCCUCAGUAACGGCGAGUGAAGUGGGAAAAGCUCAAGUUUUAAAUCUGGGAGGCCUCCUCUCCGAAUUGUAAACUAUAGAAGCGUUUUCUGUGGCGACGGUAGUAAAAGUUCCUUGGAAAAGGACAUCAGAGAGGGUGACAAUCCCGUAUUUGACUACCAUGUCUGCUGCUGUACGAUACGCUUUCUACGAGUCGGGUUGUUUGGGAAUGCAGCUCAAAAUGGGUGGUAAAUUUCAUCUAAAGCUAAAUAUUGGCAAGAGACCGAUAGCGAACAAGUACCGUGAGGGAAAGAUGAAAAGGACUUUGAAAAGAGAGUUAAAUAGUACGUGAAAUUGUUAAAAGGGAAGCGAUUGAAACCAGUAUUUUUGGGCAGAAUUCAGCUUUCUAUGGCACGAGCGCAGUGUUUUGCUACGUGAGGCACUGUGAUUUGUGGCAGAGAGAGUGUACUUUCUGGACAAAAAGUCGACAUCAGUUUUGCGUGCUGGAUAACGAUGGGAGGAAGAUGACCUUUUCUUUGGGAAAGGUUUUAUAGACUCUUGUUUCAACAGUGUGCGGAGACUGAGGAACGCAGUGUAGCUGAAAAGCAUUUCCGGAACCAGUAUUUUGGGACCCUAUUGUAGUAGACUGCAACGCAGACUAGCACGAUGGGUGACUGAGGAAUGGGGAGGGUUACAUACACUUUGGAUGUUGACGAAAUGGUUUUAAACGACCCGUCUUGAAACACGGACCAAGGAGUCCAACAUAUAUGCGAGUAUUAGAGUGGCAAACUCUGAUGCGCAAUGAAAGUGAACGAAUGGGAAGCACUUGAUGCUGCACCAUUGACCGACCUUGAAGUUUGUUAAUGGAUAGGUUUGAGUAAGAGCAUAUCUGUUGGGACCCGAAAGAUGGUGAACUAUGCCUGAAUAGGGUGAAGCCAGAGGAAACUCUGGUGGAGGCUCGUAGCGGUUCUGACGUGCAAAUCGAUCGUCAAAUUUGGGUAUAGGGGCGAAAGACUAAUCGAACCAUCUAGUAGCUGGUUCCCUC
This 1546-nucleotide unclassified non-coding RNA is filed under the name uncultured fungus. Its description in RNAcentral is "sequence contains 18S rRNA gene, ITS1, 5.8S rRNA gene, ITS2, 28S rRNA gene". The stretch from base 448 to 1546 matches the Rfam family "Eukaryotic large subunit ribosomal RNA", at positions 1 to 961 of the family's 3401-position model. The record is from RNAcentral. Lineage: Eukaryota; Fungi.